AUACGUAGGGGGCGAGCGUUGUCCGGAAUGAUUGGGCGUAAAGGGCGCGUAGGCGGCGCGGUAAGUCUGGAGUGAAAGUCCUGCUUUCAAGGUGGGAAUUGCUUUGGAUACUGCCGCGCUUGAGUGCAGGAGAGGUUAUCGGAAUUCCCGGUGUACCGGUGAAAUGCGUAGAGAUCGGGAGGAACAUCAGUGGCGAAGGCGGGUAACUGGACUGCAACUGACGCUGAGGCGCGAAAGUGUGGGGAGCAAACAGGAUUAGAUACCCUGGUAGUCCACGCUGUAAACGAUGAUUACUAGGUGUGGGGGGACUGACCCCUUCCGUGCCGCAGUUAACACAAUAAGUAAUCCACCUGGGGAGUACGGCCGCAAGGUUGAAACUCAAAUGAAUUGACGGGG
Molecule: ribosomal RNA, 396 nt
Filed under: uncultured bacterium
Lineage: Bacteria
Description: partial 16S ribosomal RNA
Rfam family: Bacterial small subunit ribosomal RNA
Source: RNAcentral